This 253-nucleotide ribosomal RNA is filed under the name uncultured bacterium. RNAcentral's name for it is "partial 16S ribosomal RNA". It matches the Rfam family "Bacterial small subunit ribosomal RNA", at positions 524 to 776 of the family's 1533-position model. The record is from RNAcentral.
GACGAACCGUGCAAACGUUGUUCGGAAUCACUGGGCUUAAAGGGCGCGUAGGCGGGUCAUCAAGUCUGUGGUGAAAUCCUCCAGCUUAACUGGAGAAGGGCCGUGGAUACUGGUGAUCUUGAGGGAGGUAGGGGCAUGUGGAACUUCCGGUGGAGCGGUGAAAUGCGUAGAUAUCAGGAGGAACACCAGCGGCGAAGGCGGCGCUCUGGGCCGGUACUGACACUGAGGAGCGAAAGCGUGGGUAGCAAACAGG